This 404-nucleotide ribosomal RNA is filed under the name uncultured bacterium. Its description in RNAcentral is "partial 16S ribosomal RNA". It matches the Rfam family "Bacterial small subunit ribosomal RNA", at positions 28 to 526 of the family's 1533-position model. The record is from RNAcentral.
GACGAACGCUGGCGGCGUGCCUAAUACAUGCAAGUCGAACGCAGUGGGGACGGGUGAGUAACACGUCGGUAACCUCUCCAUCAACGGGGGUAACACUUGCAAACAGGUGCUAAACCGAUACUGCUGGAUGGACCCGCGGUGCAUUAGCUAGUUGGUGAGGUAACGGCUCACCAAGGCCACGAUGCAUAGCCGACCUGAGAGGGUGAUCGGCCACACUGGGACUGAGACACGGCCCAGACUCCUACGGGAGGCAGCAGUAGGGAAUCUGCGGCAAUGGACGAAAGUCUGACCGAGCAACGCCGCGUGAGUGAAGAAGGUUUUCGGAUCGUAAAACUCUGUUGUUAGAGAAGCGGUAUCUAACCAGAAAGCCACGGCUAACUACGUGCCAGCCGCCGCGGUAAUUC